CAAUAGCGUAUAUUAAUGUUGUUGCAGUUAAAAAGCUCGUAGUUGGAUUUCUGGUGGGAGCGGCCGGUCCGCCGUAAGGUGUGUACUUGGUUGACUCCUGUCAUCCUUGUGGGAACUGCUCUGGCAUUAAGUUGUCGGGGUUAGGGAACACAUCGUUUACUGUGAAAAAAUUAGAGUGUUUAAAGCAGGCUUAUGCCGUUGAAUACAUUAGCAUGGAAUAAUAAGAUAGGACUUUGGCGUCUAUUUUGUUGGUUUGCACACCAAGGUAAUGAUUAAUAGGGAUAGUUGGGGGUAUUCGUAUUUAAUUGUCAGAGGUGAAAUUCUUGGAUUUAUGAAAGACGAACUUCUGCGAAAGCAUUUACCAAAGAUGUUUUCAUUAA
Molecule: ribosomal RNA, 380 nt
Filed under: uncultured eukaryote
Lineage: Eukaryota
Description: partial 18S ribosomal RNA
Rfam family: Eukaryotic small subunit ribosomal RNA
Source: RNAcentral